UGCAAGUCUAAUAGAUUCUCACUCUGAUUUCUCCUAAGCCGUAGCCUAGUGUUUCUUCCCCUGCAGUUACUCCUCCGCCACCGCCUACCAAUGGUAGGUAAUGUCUGAUUAAUUUUGCUCUGUGGAAGGGAGAUGCUAAUGUAUCUUUGUAUUGUACGUUGUCCAGUUAGUCUCUGUCCCGAAUUCUUAUGAUGCCUUUCUUAACUGAGUUGGACGUUGUGGGAGCUAUAUUAGUAUGUUCAUCUCUUAGAAUUAGAUGUGAGAUUAGAUUGUGGUCAUUUUCAGUUAAACUGUAGAUUUUAUGUCACUAAUUAAUAACGUUGCAUUGUCUUUCAA
Molecule: long non-coding RNA, 336 nt
Organism: Nicotiana tabacum (common tobacco)
Lineage: Eukaryota; Viridiplantae; Streptophyta; Magnoliopsida; Solanales; Solanaceae
Source: RefSeq, a predicted model, not a curated record